This 334-nucleotide ribosomal RNA is filed under the name Escherichia coli. RNAcentral describes it as "partial 23S ribosomal RNA". It matches the Rfam family "Bacterial large subunit ribosomal RNA", at positions 2031 to 2364 of the family's 2925-position model. Lineage: Bacteria; Pseudomonadati; Pseudomonadota; Gammaproteobacteria; Enterobacterales; Enterobacteriaceae. The record is from RNAcentral.
ACUCAGUGAAAUUGAACUCGCUGUGAAGAUGCAGUGUACCCGCGGCAAGACGGAAAGACCCCGUGAACCUUUACUAUAGCUUGACACUGAACAUUGAGCCUUGAUGUGUAGGAUAGGUGGGAGGCUUGGAAGUGUGGACGCCAGUCUGCAUGGAGCCGACCUUGAAAUACCACCCUUUAAUGUUUGAUGUUCUAACGUUGACCCCUAAUCGGGGUUGCGGACAGUGUCUGGUGGGUAGUUUGACUGGGGCGGUCUCCUCCUAAAGAGUAACGGAGGAGCACGAAGGUUGGCUAAUCCUGGUCGGACAUCAGGAGGUUAGUGCAAUGGCAUAAGC